GGUCCAGUAGCUCAGUCGGUUAGAGUGCCGCCCUGUCAAGGCGGAGGUCGCGGGUUCGAGUCCCGUCUGGACCGCCA
Molecule: transfer RNA, 77 nt
Filed under: Armatimonadota bacterium
Lineage: Bacteria; Bacillati; Armatimonadota
Description: Armatimonadetes bacterium (anaerobic digester metagenome) tRNA-Asp
Rfam family: tRNA
About the family: Transfer RNA (tRNA) molecules are approximately 80 nucleotides in length. Their secondary structure includes four short double-helical elements and three loops (D, anti-codon, and T loops).
Source: RNAcentral